GAUCAUGGCUCAGAGUGAACGCUGGCGGCAGGCCUAAUACAUGCAAGUCGAACGGCAGCACAGCAGAGCUUGCUCUGUGGGUGGCGAGUGGCGGACGGGUGAGGAAUACGUGGGAAUCUGCCCAGUCGUGGGGAUAACGUAGGGAAACUUACGCUAAUACCGCAUGCGCCCUUCGGGGAAAGCCGGGGACCUUCGGGCCUGGCGCGAUUGGAUGAGCCCACGUCGGAUUAGCUAGUUGGCGGGGUAAAGGCCCACCAAGGCGACGAUCCGUAGCUGGUCUGAGAGGAUGAUCAGCCACACUGGAACUGAGACACGGUCCAGACUCCUACGGGAGGCAGCAGUAGGGAAUAUUGGACAAUGGGCGCAAGCCUGAUCCAGCCAUGCCGCGUGAGUGAAGAAGGCCCUCGGGUUGUAAAGCUCUUUUGUCCGGAAAGAAAAGCGCCGGGUUAAUACCCUGGUGUCCUGACGGUACCGGAAGAAUAAGCACCGGCUAACUUCGUG
RNAcentral lists this ribosomal RNA (501 nucleotides) under uncultured bacterium. RNAcentral describes it as "bacterial SSU rRNA". It matches the Rfam family "Bacterial small subunit ribosomal RNA", at positions 15 to 507 of the family's 1533-position model. The record is from RNAcentral.